UCUCUUACCCAUGUCUUUUGAGUACCUUCGUUUCCUCGGCGGGUUCGCCCGCCGAUUGGACAAUUUAAACCAUUUGCAGUUGCAAUCAGCGUCUGAAAAAACAUAAUAGUUACAACUUUCAACAACGGAUCUCUUGGUUCUGGCAUCGAUGAAGAACGCAGCGAAAUGCGAUAAGUAGUGUGAAUUGCAGAAUUCAGUGAAUCAUCGAAUCUUUGAACGCACAUUGCGCCCCUUGGUAUUCCAUGGGGCAUGCCUGUUCGAGCGUCAUUUGUACCUUCAAGCUCUGCUUGGUGUUGGGUGUUUGUCUCGCCUCUGCGUGUAGACUCGCCUCAAAACAAUUGGCAGCCGGCGUAUUGAUUUCGGAGCGCAGUACAUCUCGCGCUUUGCACUCAGAACGACGACGUCCAAAAGUACAUUUUUACACUCUUGACCUCGGAUCAGGUAGGGAUACCCGCUGAACUUAAGCAUAUCAAUAGCCGGAGGAA
This 485-nucleotide ribosomal RNA is filed under the name Epicoccum nigrum. Its description in RNAcentral is "eukaryotic LSU rRNA". The stretch from base 114 to 267 matches the Rfam family "5.8S ribosomal RNA". Lineage: Eukaryota; Fungi; Ascomycota; Dothideomycetes; Pleosporales; Didymellaceae. The record is from RNAcentral.